CUGGACCGGGUCUUGGAUUCAUCUGGCUUUCGUAUGUUAACAGGUUCUGAAAGCAUCUGGGACACACUUGUUCCAUUUUAACCAGCACGGGUCGUCCGUCUGCUUUUAUUUUUGUCUUUCUCUUCCUUCCUCCCUUCGUCCUCUCUUCCCUCCCGUGGUCUUCUGUGUUUGCUUUAGCAGUGUGGCUUACCUUGCCACUUGGCAAGAAAAAAAAGGCAGCUCUUGUGUGGGGUAGAUGGAGGGAAGGAUAAGAAAUAAUCCACCGCCCGAAUUUGAGUUCCCUGGGUUCAGUUCCAGCGGCAGCAGCUUUGCUGCAAAAAUUGCUUUGCUGUUCGAGAUAGCCAGCAGAGGGAAUCAGGACUUUGCUUGCAGCAGGGGUUGAAGCAGGCUUUUUUUUUUUUUCUUGGAGGAAAUACUGCAGCUUUCUGGACUGCAUACCCUGCUCCCUGGAGAGGUUCCACCCACCGGCUGGAAGGAGAGGAAGUGAAUGAAAGGACAGGAGGAGCCCGAACACCAUGUCACUCUGGAAGGGAGACAGCAGCAACCAGGCUGUGCAAGUGAGUGGUGGAAGACGAAGGAUCUCUGAAGCCUCAUCAGUCAUCGGGACCAUCAGGAAUAGUGGUUUAAGAGGACGCUCGGCCUGGGGCACUAUACCCUGUCAUCGAGUUCCCUGCCUCGGAGAUAAAGAUUCCAGCUACAUGGGUAAACGCCUGGAUCAGCCACAAAUGUACCCCCAGUACACUUACUACUAUCCUCACUGUCUCUAAACCAAGGUAUGGCUCGACCCACAGUCUGGCAAGCAGUGUACUCUAGAGACUGAAGUUUGGAGCUUUACAAUAGAUGUUCUUUACUUUUCGAAGCUCUGUUUUUCUGUGCUGGCUGCCAUCAGGAGGCCUGUGGGUCUUGAAACGGGAUGAAAUAUAACUGAUGAUAAUUGGACACGAAUUGGUUAAAUACUUUAGUCUUGGGAUCCCUGGGUGGCGCAGUGGUUUGGCGCCUGCCUUUGGCCCAGGGCGUGAUCCUGGAGACCUGGGAUCGAAUCCCACGUCGGGCUCCCGGUGCAUGGAGCCUGCUUCUCCCUCUGCCUAUGUCUCUGCCUCUCUCUCUGUGUGUGACUAUCAUAAAUAAAUAAAAAAAAUUAAAAAAAAUUUUUAAUACUUUAGUCUUUAUGUGUGUGCGUAAAUGACCAU
Molecule: long non-coding RNA, 1190 nt
Organism: Canis lupus familiaris (dog)
Lineage: Eukaryota; Metazoa; Chordata; Mammalia; Carnivora; Canidae
Exons: 3
Source: RefSeq, a predicted model, not a curated record